RNAcentral lists this long non-coding RNA (582 nucleotides) under Homo sapiens (human). RNAcentral's name for it is "HSALNT0364459". Lineage: Eukaryota; Metazoa; Chordata; Mammalia; Primates; Hominidae. The record is from RNAcentral.
CUCUUUCUCCUCCCUGCCUAACUGGUGAGGUGGGACUUCAAUGCCUUUUAGGUUUACAGUCUUUUCCUCCCCACGGCUUCUCUUUCCUCCCCGUCUCAGGCACUGGGCAUUUCCAGUCGAUCCAGCAGGUCUGGCUUCUCUCACAUAUGCAGUAAGGGUUAGGGGAGAAGGUCCCAGCUCCUCUUGUCUCUAGCAGAGUGUAAACUGGCUCUGCUGAGGAGGUGGCUGUGCUUUUAUUCCUUCUCCUGAGAACUGUUUAUAUAUUAAGGAGCUUCACAGCCUCCAACAUAAGGAAAGCAGGCCUCAAACUUCUUCAUGGGAAAAGAUGGCUUCUCUUUUUUAAUUGAAUGAACUAGAAGAAGUUCAUUGUUAUUCAUCAACUUCAAAGAGACUAUAUGAGGCCCCUUGGCCAGGACUACAGAGCAGUAUUUUUUAAUCAGAAAUUAUAGCCAAAAAGAAGAGACCAGAACACAUGGGGGAUGAAGUGGGAUGAGAGGAAGGAGAAGAGAUGAAGGUGAAAGACCACUCUGAGGUCAAGAUAAACUUUGUUAAAAUUACAUGGUGUUUCAUCUGGAUGUAUUC